Molecule: long non-coding RNA, 236 nt
Organism: Dreissena polymorpha
Lineage: Eukaryota; Metazoa; Mollusca; Bivalvia; Myida; Dreissenidae
Exons: 3
Source: RefSeq, a predicted model, not a curated record
UUUCCCAAAUAGUCCAUAUACAACGUUUAUGGCAAUCUAUUGAAACGGUAGCUAUCUUGUCCAUGGAAAAGAGUCACGUUUCCGGUCGGAAUUAAAUUUAAUUCGAAAGUUGGAACAAAAUUUGAUGUCAAACAAUUAUUUUAAACAGAUGUAGUUGAAGAUAUGUCACCCCACGUAGAGUGAAUAUCCCUUCCUUUUUCGCCUGACCAUAGUAAUAGGGGAUAUUCAAACCACGA